GAAUCUGAGGGUGAUGUGGCUGCUACAUCUCUCACCCCACUGAUCACCAGGGUUGACUCAGCUGAUCUGGCUGUCUAGGUGGGUGUCCCCUUCCUCCUCCGAUGCUCUGUGCGCAUCCCUCCAGAAGCUCCAUGUUCCAUCAAAGAGGAUGACCUUCCCCCAUAGAAGAGGACCAUUUUGGGGUCAAGAGUAUACCUAUAGCUACACUCCCUUGCUAGACCCUGCAAACAAGCUCUCCAGGUCCAUUUGUAGGAGUACAUAGGUUAGCCAAGCUUUCAUGGCUCCAGACCUUUCUUUUAAAAAA
This 304-nucleotide small nuclear RNA is filed under the name Ailuropoda melanoleuca (giant panda). RNAcentral describes it as "7SK RNA". It matches the Rfam family "7SK RNA". Rfam says of the family: 7SK was discovered as an abundant small nuclear RNA in the mid-70s but a possible function has only recently been suggested. Lineage: Eukaryota; Metazoa; Chordata; Mammalia; Carnivora; Ursidae. The record is from Rfam by way of RNAcentral.